Molecule: long non-coding RNA, 608 nt
Organism: Tribolium castaneum (red flour beetle)
Lineage: Eukaryota; Metazoa; Arthropoda; Insecta; Coleoptera; Tenebrionidae
Exons: 3
Source: RefSeq, a predicted model, not a curated record
AAGAUAAGUCUAGUGUUAUAAAUAUGUCAUCCUACAACGAUAAGUAGCAGAGUACUAAUGUUCACGACCUAAACUAACAGCUAGUUCAAGUUUGUAUUUUGGGUGAGGUGGUUAAACCAUGUCAAAAUUCGUACUCAUUUUAUUAAUUGUGUCCUUUCAAAUAAUAACAGCCCAAAAUGGAACACAAGCUGCAACAAAUACUAUUGAAAGUGCGAUAAGAAGCGUUCUAAAUUUGUUAACAAACUGGUCACAAUCUGCUCAAAGAUUAGGAUCAAGCUUCACAUCUGCAAUCCGAUUUCUUGAAAACAUGGCACAACAAAUAAUUCAACGUAUUGGACCUUUGAUCGGACGCUUUGUUAAUCCCACAAGUGUCAGGCCACCGCUAUCAAGAAGAAGCUUACAGAAGAGAGAUGUCCAAAGAGUGGAUUUCACAAAUCAGGCACAGGAAUUUUUCUAUCGCAUCUUUGAAUUAAACGACCGAUUGAACGAUUUUUAGAAUAUUCAUACAAAAUCUCUACAAGUUAAACUGCCAUCAAAUUAAUUUACUUGAGUUCUAUGACAAAAAUUGUAAAAACUAGAAAAUACAAGUGGGUCGCUAUUCAUUAUUA